Molecule: ribosomal RNA, 380 nt
Filed under: uncultured bacterium
Lineage: Bacteria
Description: bacterial SSU rRNA
Rfam family: Bacterial small subunit ribosomal RNA
Source: RNAcentral
GUAAAGCACUUUCAGUAGGGAGGAAGGUAGUCGUAGUUAACACCUGCAUUAUUUGACGUUACCUACAGAAGAAGCACCGGCUAACUCCGUGCCAGCAGCCGCGGUAAUACGGAGGGUGCGAGCGUUAAUCGGAAUUACUGGGCGUAAAGCGCAUGCAGGCGGCCUGUUAAGUCAGAUGUGAAAGACCCGGGGCGUUAACCUCGGAAUUGCAUUUGAAACUGGCAGGCUAGAGUCUUGUAGAGGGGGUAGGAAUUUCAGGUGUAGCGGUGAAAUAGCGUAGAGAUCUGAAGGAAUACCAGUGGCGAAGGCGGCCCCCUGGACAAAGACUGACGCUCAGAUGCGAAAGCGUGGGGAGCAAACAGGAUUAGAUACCCUGGUAG